UUUCGCUUUUAACAACAUUCACCACCCUUUCGCGACGAAGAGAAAAAUGGGGGUGUUAGGGUGUUGAUUCUCUGCGACGCUCUUCGCAUUGCGGUACCCUGCACCUUCCUCGCGGUAUUGCGCGCCUGUCUCACUCCCAUUCCGUUUUUCCGCUCCCCUCUCUGUGUUGCGAAAAUAAGGGUUCAUUGGUUUGGGGCUAAUUCUUCUUCCGAUUUCGAGCCGAGUGAAAUCGUUAAGAGAGAAAAUGUACGCUGAUCGUAUGGAGGGUGGAGCCAGGAGGCCCGUGAAGGAACGCCUUAAUAAUGGGAAUGGCGUCAUUGGCUCUACUCGGCAGCAGCAGCAGCGUCAAAUCACUGGCAAGAGGUCGAGGCAAGAUGACAAGUGGGAACAUGAUCUCUUCGACAAUGACAAACCUCAGAUCACUAAUUGCAAAGUUAGUGCUCCAGAUCUUCGCCUCAAGCUUCAAAGGAAGGGUCUUCAACUUGCAGCUCAGAGUGGAAAGAGUUCUGCUCCAAACAUGCGGGAUCUCCAUGAAAGGCUAUCAGGGACAAUGUCACCACAACUUACAAAUGCUGAUCAGCCAAAGACAAAAGUUGUUAAAUCAAGCAGUAAAAGUGUUGGUGUUGAGGCCCCUGCAGUGCAGAUCAAAAGGCCAGCUGACCUAACUCCUAAAAAGUCACAAAAGGCUGGUUCUUCAGUUGAUGAAUUUUUGCGGUCCUUGUGUCUCGAAAAGUAUCUCAUAACUUUUCAGGCUGAAGAAGUUGAUAUGACAGCUCUCAAUCAUAUGACUGAUGAAGAUCUCAAGGCUAUGGGUAUACCAAUGACGUGCCAAGCUACAACGUAUCUUUUAUGGUUCUUGGUGGCUUGAAUAAAUGGAUUGGGUCAGCAUAUUCCUCUUGCAGACCAGCCAAAUAAGCAUCGACAAGAUAGUCUUCGGAUAAGUGAAGUUUACAAGAAAUCACAUCAAAUGCAUUAUUAAAUUCUGCCAAGGUGCCAUGCUGUUGCAAAAACAUCAAAUCUUUAAGGCGAUCUUGAUGGCAUGUAUGGUGGUGCCUUUCUCUGUAGCCAUGUCCAAGAUUGAUGGAGGCAUAAUACCCUUUGCACGUUAGCUGAUGAAGCUGAUUAGAAAUAGCCUCCACCAUGGACCAAGAAAGAAGAUACUUUUAGCACUGGAGUCGAAAGUCUGACCAUUUAGUAAUGGAAUUGAUUUUCUAAGCUGGAUGAACCUGUUUAUGGACGGUGGUGGGAGAUCAGGAUUUAAAAACCAAGUGUAAUAGCAUAGUUCUUUGAUUAUUUUCGUUUUUAAUAUUUUUCCUUACUUUUUAGACAUUAAUCAAGUGAUUUAAAUUGAAAUGCUUGCGGCAUAAGCUCGUGUAGGAUUUAUGUCAUGGUCAUUAUCAUAUUCUCUAUUGACACGGAUAAUUGGGGGCGCCUUUUUGUUUUAAUUAAAAUUGCAUUUUCAGAGACCA
RNA transcript from Glycine soja, 1469 nucleotides. It is a transcript of the gene named ankyrin repeat and SAM domain-containing protein 6-like, with no coding region annotated. Lineage: Eukaryota; Viridiplantae; Streptophyta; Magnoliopsida; Fabales; Fabaceae. The record is from RefSeq and is a predicted model, not a curated record. The transcript is spliced from 7 exons.